UACUUCAAGCCUAAGCGCGCGGUUCGAAAAUUCGUGUGACGUCACGACUUCUGGUCAUAAUAAACUUCGGAACGCAUGCAGUGGCUCUUUGCUGAUUGCUGAAGCUUCUUACGUUGUGCGAACGCUGAAGCAGAAUACUUUGAUUUUUUUAUGGUUUUAAGGUUGGAUGUAUUUUAGAGAGGUAUUCAUAACGAAGAAAGGAGUGUUUUUAUCAUGAAAUGGCUCUCAGGUGUAAAAAUGCAUAGGAUAUAUCUUAGUUUAUUGAAGUUAAGAAUUGGUGCUUUGUGGACUAAAAAAUAUGUGCAAUAUCCAUUGUCACACCACUCUGUUCAAGAAUAUCGAUCAGUCCUGAAUGAUAAAGAAAAUGAUUAACAAAGGAAUAUCUAGAACUUGAUUGUGUGCAUGAUUUAAUUCCAAAUAUAAGUAUUGGAAUAAUUCAUCCUCCUUAUUUUCAACAAAAACUCUUCAUUUGGUAAUAUACAUUUGUGCUUAUCAGUGUGGUGUCUUGUGUAACAAAUCGUCAGUAUUAUAAAAUAGAUGGAAAGAUCUUUGGUUAUUGCAAGAGCUUUAUGUGCUGAAGAAGUAAAAAAAAAAUGUCCCAGAUAAUUGUGGAUAUUAUGAAACUGAGUAUCAUAAGAAUGGAAAAAUAUUUCUUAAACAAAUUACCUUGUGAUGCAUGUAAUGGGUAUGUUUAUUUUAUUUCAUAUAACUGUAAAUUUAAUUAUUGAUAAUAAGCAAACUUUUUUUUUUUCCCUAAAAUGCCAUUGGUGUAUUGUCAUUAUUCUAUAUUGACAUGUAUUCUCUUACAUUUAUCAUUGAAACCAGAGAUUUUAUAAUAGAAUAUGGGAAACUUGUGUUGAAGGCCUGUUGAUUGAAAUACAAGUGACCAUUACAUCUUUGGAAUUUGCAUUCUCAUUGCCAAUUUUGAAAAGACAUUCUUUUACAUUUUCUUAAAAAAGUUAACAUUCUAAUGACUUUAGAAGUAAACAUUGGCGACUUCAUAUGAACCAGUCUCUUGGCGAGUUUAGCAAAAAAUUUGCCGAUGGCUUCCCCAUAACAGAACUGUACUGGAUUCUAUACCUGAAUAUUGCAUUAAAAGGAGAGAAAAACCAUUUAUUAUGAAGAUAAUAAAUGAUUCAUAUUACGAAUGUUCAUUUCUUAUAAUGAUCGAGUUUUAUAUUCUUGCAUUGUAUUUCUUUUGUGUCAACACAGAAUAAAUUGUGUCGGAUUUCAGUUAUAAUGAUAUGUGUAAAGAUGCUGUAAUAAAAUUUGUUAUAAAUGUA
Molecule: unclassified non-coding RNA, 1283 nt
Filed under: Stegodyphus dumicola
Lineage: Eukaryota; Metazoa; Arthropoda; Arachnida; Araneae; Eresidae
Description: tHAP domain-containing protein 1-like, transcript variant X1
Source: RNAcentral